Rattus norvegicus (Norway rat) is the source of this 1077-nucleotide long non-coding RNA. Lineage: Eukaryota; Metazoa; Chordata; Mammalia; Rodentia; Muridae. The record is from Ensembl.
GUCUGAGUACGAGCGGCACGGUGGGCAGUGGGAAGAUGAAAUGGCUACAGGCGAUGGGGGCAGCGGGGAGCGAACCCAGAGGUCCAAAAACUGGGAGAUCCGCAGGUUGUGUAGGCGGUGAGACGUAAGAAAGAUAAAAAGAACAGCCAAUGGAGAACUGCACGCGAAUGAUGUAGAGACAGAGUGACGAUAAUGGUUGCAACGAGCCAAUGGGGAGUCCUGCUAUCAGUUCCAGUCUUGUCUUUCCAAAAAGGCCUGAAGCCAGGCUUACAAAGAUGCUGCGGUGGCCAUGCAUUUGAUACCUGGAACUCUUAGCUCUGCAGGAUGCCAGGACACAGUUGGAUACCUGGAACCCUUAAGUCUGCAGGAUACCAGGACACCAAAGGCUGGAACCCUUAGCCUUGCCCUGUCAGAAAAAAAAAAUCUGUGGAGACUGGUCUGUGUUAAGUAGUGCUUGCAGGGAGCAGGUCUUUGCCAAAUCGAGGAAAUGCAGCUGCCAAGUCUUGAAUGCAAACCUUAAAACCUCACAAACAUCAAGCUGCAGAAGAGUCUCCAAGUCCUAGAACUUCCCUGACAUCGAAUCAUAGAAAUUAAAACCCAACACUGUUGGCUUCUGGAAAACUGGUCACUUCAGAGUCCUGUGCUAAGGACCCUGGGAUCUUGAGCAGGCUGCACCUCCAUUUGACCCAUCGGUCUAAUAUAACACAGUCAUGAUGAGAUGGACUUCAAAGGGUGAGAACUGAACACAACUGUUUGUGAGAAGUGUUCGGCUCUGUGUCUGGAAUGUGGAAAAUUCUAGAUAAAUGUUGGCUACCAAAAUUAUUAUGGCUGUUUAAAAUCCUAAACCUUUGCAAACUGGAGCUUUUCUUCUCUUUUGUUCUUUGUGGAUUAUUUUUUUUUCUUUUUUCUUUUUCUUUUUUCUUUUUUUCGGAGCUGGGGACCGAACCCAGGGCCUUGCGGUUGCUAGGCAAGCGCUCUACCACUGAGCUAAAUCCCCAACCCCGUGGAUUAUUUUUUUUUAACACAGAAUCGGGCUAUAUAGCCCCAGGCAGCCUUACAACUCUUGAUUCUUUUGCC